GGGCGUAGUUUAAUGGUAGAACUCCAGCCUUCCAAGCUGGUCGUGGGAGUUCGAUUCUCCCCGCCCG
The sequence is a transfer RNA, 67 nucleotides long. It matches the Rfam family "tRNA". Rfam says of the family: Transfer RNA (tRNA) molecules are approximately 80 nucleotides in length.